RNAcentral lists this ribosomal RNA (1542 nucleotides) under Escherichia coli. Its description in RNAcentral is "bacterial SSU rRNA". It matches the Rfam family "Bacterial small subunit ribosomal RNA". The record is from RNAcentral. Lineage: Bacteria; Pseudomonadati; Pseudomonadota; Gammaproteobacteria; Enterobacterales; Enterobacteriaceae.
AAAUUGAAGAGUUUGAUCAUGGCUCAGAUUGAACGCUGGCGGCAGGCCUAACACAUGCAAGUCGAACGGUAACAGGAAACAGCUUGCUGUUUCGCUGACGAGUGGCGGACGGGUGAGUAAUGUCUGGGAAACUGCCUGAUGGAGGGGGAUAACUACUGGAAACGGUAGCUAAUACCGCAUAACGUCGCAAGACCAAAGAGGGGGACCUUAGGGCCUCUUGCCAUCGGAUGUGCCCAGAUGGGAUUAGCUAGUAGGUGGGGUAAAGGCUCACCUAGGCGACGAUCCCUAGCUGGUCUGAGAGGAUGACCAGCCACACUGGAACUGAGACACGGUCCAGACUCCUACGGGAGGCAGCAGUGGGGAAUAUUGCACAAUGGGCGCAAGCCUGAUGCAGCCAUGCCGCGUGUAUGAAGAAGGCCUUCGGGUUGUAAAGUACUUUCAGCGGGGAGGAAGGGAGUAAAGUUAAUACCUUUGCUCAUUGACGUUACCCGCAGAAGAAGCACCGGCUAACUCCGUGCCAGCAGCCGCGGUAAUACGGAGGGUGCAAGCGUUAAUCGGAAUUACUGGGCGUAAAGCGCACGCAGGCGGUUUGUUAAGUCAGAUGUGAAAUCCCCGGGCUCAACCUGGGAACUGCAUCUGAUACUGGCAAGCUUGAGUCUCGUAGAGGGGGGUAGAAUUCCAGGUGUAGCGGUGAAAUGCGUAGAGAUCUGGAGGAAUACCGGUGGCGAAGGCGGCCCCCUGGACGAAGACUGACGCUCAGGUGCGAAAGCGUGGGGAGCAAACAGGAUUAGAUACCCUGGUAGUCCACGCCGUAAACGAUGUCGACUUGGAGGUUGUGCCCUUGAGGCGUGGCUUCCGGAGCUAACGCGUUAAGUCGACCGCCUGGGGAGUACGGCCGCAAGGUUAAAACUCAAAUGAAUUGACGGGGGCCCGCACAAGCGGUGGAGCAUGUGGUUUAAUUCGAUGCAACGCGAAGAACCUUACCUGGUCUUGACAUCCACGGAAGUUUUCAGAGAUGAGAAUGUGCCUUCGGGAACCGUGAGACAGGUGCUGCAUGGCUGUCGUCAGCUCGUGUUGUGAAAUGUUGGGUUAAGUCCCGCAACGAGCGCAACCCUUAUCCUUUGUUGCCAGCGGUCCGGCCGGGAACUCAAAGGAGACUGCCAGUGAUAAACUGGAGGAAGGUGGGGAUGACGUCAAGUCAUCAUGGCCCUUACGACCAGGGCUACACACGUGCUACAAUGGCGCAUACAAAGAGAAGCGACCUCGCGAGAGCAAGCGGACCUCAUAAAGUGCGUCGUAGUCCGGAUUGGAGUCUGCAACUCGACUCCAUGAAGUCGGAAUCGCUAGUAAUCGUGGGUCAGAAUGCCACGGUGAAUACGUUCCCGGGCCUUGUACACACCGCCCGUCACACCAUGGGAGUGGGUUGCAAAAGAAGUAGGUAGCUUAACCUUCGGGAGGGCGCUUACCACUUUGUGAUUCAUGACUGGGGUGAAGUCGUAACAAGGUAACCGUAGGGGAACCUGCGGUUGGAUCACCUCCUUA